Molecule: ribosomal RNA, 497 nt
Filed under: uncultured bacterium
Lineage: Bacteria
Description: partial 16S ribosomal RNA
Rfam family: Bacterial small subunit ribosomal RNA
Source: RNAcentral
GAUGAACGCUGGCGGCGUGCCUAAUACAUGCAAGUCGAGCGAACAGAUAAGGAGCUUGCUCCUUUGACGUUAGCGGCGGACGGGUGAGUAACACGUGGGUAACCUACCUAUAAGACUGGGAUAACUUCGGGAAACCGGAGCUAAUACCGGAUAAUAUUUCGAACCGCAUGGUUCGAUAGUGAAAGAUGGUUUUGCUAUCACUUAUAGACGGACCCGCGCCGUAUUAGCUAGUUGGUAAGGUAAGGGCUUACCAAGGCGACGAUACGGAGCCGACCUGAGAGGGUGAUCGGCCACACUGGAACUGGGACACUGUCCAGACUCCUACGGGAGGCAGCCGUAGGGAAUCUUCCUCAAUGGGCGAAAGCCUGACGGAGCAACGCCGCGUGAGUGAUGAAGGUCUUCGGAUCGUAAAACUCUGUUAUUAGGGAAGAACAUACGUGUAAGUAACUGUGCACGUCUUGACGUUACCUAAUCAGAAAGCCACGGCUAACUACGUG